CAGAGGUCUCAAGCGUUGUUCGGAUUCAUUGGGCGUAAAGGGUGCGUAGGCGGCGCGGUAAGUCGGGUGUGAAAUUUCGAGGCUUAACUUCGAAACUGCAUUCGAUACUGCCGUGCUCGAGGACUGGAGAGGAGACUGGAAUUUACGGUGUAGCGGUGAAAUGCGUAGAUAUCGUAAGGAAGACCAGUGGCGAGGGCGGGUCUCUGGACAGUUCCUGACGCUGAGGCACGAAGGCCAGGGGAGCAAACGGGAUUAGAUACCCCGGUAGUCCUGGCAAUAAACGGUGCACGUUUGGUGUGGGAGGAUUCGACCCCUUCUGCGCCGGAGCUAACGCGUUAAACGUGCCGCCUGGGGAGUACGGUCGCAAGAUUA
Molecule: ribosomal RNA, 372 nt
Filed under: uncultured organism
Description: bacterial SSU rRNA
Rfam family: Bacterial small subunit ribosomal RNA
Source: RNAcentral